RNAcentral lists this ribosomal RNA (305 nucleotides) under uncultured bacterium. RNAcentral describes it as "bacterial SSU rRNA". It matches the Rfam family "Bacterial small subunit ribosomal RNA", at positions 333 to 630 of the family's 1533-position model. The record is from RNAcentral.
AGACUCCUACGGGACGCAGCAGUAGGGAAUCUUCCACAAUGGGCGAAAGCCUGAUGGAGCAACGCCGCGUGGGUGAAGAAGGUCUUCGGAUCGUAAAACCCUGUUGUUAGAGAAGAAAGUGCGUGAGAGUAACUGUUCACGUUUCGACGGUAUCUAACCAGAAAGCCACGGCUAACUACGUGCCAGCAGCCGCGGUAAUACGUAGGUGGCAAGCGUUAUCCGGAUUUAUUGGGCGUAAAGGGAACGCAGGCGGUCUUUUACGUCUGAUGUGAAAGCCUUCGGCUUAACCGGCGUAGUGCAUUGGG